RNAcentral lists this ribosomal RNA (667 nucleotides) under Hepatozoon canis. Its description in RNAcentral is "bacterial SSU rRNA". It matches the Rfam family "Eukaryotic small subunit ribosomal RNA", at positions 170 to 825 of the family's 1831-position model. Lineage: Eukaryota; Apicomplexa; Hepatozoidae. The record is from RNAcentral.
CAUGAGCAAAAUCUCAACUUUAUUAGAAGAGACGCAUUUAUUAGAUAAAAAGCCAGUUCAUGCUUUUACAGUAUGAAAAUUGGUGAUUUAUAAUAACUUAGCAAAUCGCAAAGUGAAAACAGGCGAUAAAUCAUUCAAGUUUCUGACCUAUCAGCUUUCGACGGUAUGGUAUUGGCUUACCGUGGCAGUGACGGUUAACGGGGGAUUAGGGUUCGAUUCCGGAGAGGGAGCCUGAGAAACGGCUACCACAUCUAAGGAAGGCAGCAGGCGCGCAAAUUACCCAAUUCUAACAGUUUGAGAGAGGUAGUAACAAGAAAUAACAAUACAAGGCAGUUAAAAUGCUUUGUAAUUGGAAUGAUAGAAAUUUAAACCCUUUUUAAAGUAUCAAUUGGAGGGCAAGUCUGGUGCCAGCAGCCGCGGUAAUUCCAGCUCCAAUAGCGUAUAUUAAAAUUGUUGCAGUUAAAAAGCUCGUAGUUGAAGUUCUGCUGAAAGUAACCGGUCUGCUUUUAAUAAAAGUGGUAUCUUGGUAUGUAUUUAGCAAUGAUGUCCUUUGAAGUGUUUUUUACUUUAUUGUAAUAAAGCAUAUUCAGGACUUUUACUUUGAGAAAAUUAGAGUGUUUCUAGCAGGCUAACGCUUUGAAUACUGCAGCAUGGAAAUAAUAAGAAA